Molecule: unclassified non-coding RNA, 328 nt
Filed under: soil metagenome
Description: partial contains 5.8S ribosomal RNA, internal transcribed spacer 2, and large subunit ribosomal RNA
Rfam family: 5.8S ribosomal RNA (bases 1-120)
Source: RNAcentral
GAUGAAGAACGUAGCGAAAUGCGAUAAGUAAUGUGAAUUGCAGAAUUCAGUGAAUCAUCGAAUCUUUGAACGCACAUUGCGCCCCUUGGUAUUCCGAGGGGCAUGCCUGCUCGAGCGUCAUUAUAACCCCUCAAGCUCAGCUUGGUGUUGGGGCCUGCUGCACUGGCAGCCCUUAAAAUCAGUGGCGGCGCCAUCUGGCUCUAAGCGUAGUAAUUCUUCUCGCUAUGGAGUCCUGGUGGAUGCUUGCCAUCAACCCCCAAUUUUUCUAUGGUUGACCUCGGAUCAGGUAGGGAUACCCGCUGAACUUAAGCAUAUCAAUAGCGGAGGA